RNAcentral lists this ribosomal RNA (546 nucleotides) under Bembras japonica (red flathead). RNAcentral describes it as "partial 16S large subunit ribosomal RNA". It matches the Rfam family "Bacterial large subunit ribosomal RNA", at positions 156 to 1050 of the family's 2925-position model. Lineage: Eukaryota; Metazoa; Chordata; Actinopteri; Perciformes; Bembridae. The record is from RNAcentral.
CGCCCAACAGCUAGCCCGCACAAGCAAUAGCAAUAGACCACUAUACAUAACCCCAAAUACACAGAAUUUAAGUAAACAAACCAUUUUUUUCCCUUAGUAUGGGCGACAGAAAAGGGACCCGAGGAGCCAUAGAGAAAGUACCGCAAGGGAACGCUGAAAGAGAAAUGAAACAACCCAGUGAAGCCUAAAAAAGCAGAGACUCACACUCGUACCUUUUGCAUCAUGAUUUAGCAAGUGUAAUUCAAGCAAAGCGUACUUUAGUUUGAUAACCCGAAACUACGUGAGCUACUCCGUGACAGCCUAUACAAAAGGGCAAACCCGUCUCUGUGGCAAAAGAGUGGGACGAUCACUGAGUAGAGGUGAAAAACCUACCGAACCUAGUUAUAGCUGGUUGCCCGAGAAAUGGAUAGAAGUUCAGCCUUGCCGCUUCUUUCUUCCCUUCAGUAACUUCUCCCACUGAUAUCCAAGAAUACUGCAAGAGUUAGUCAAAGGGGGUACAGCCCCUUUGAAACAAGACACAACUUUACCAGGAGGGUAAAGAUCAUA